Panthera tigris altaica (Amur tiger) is the source of this 124-nucleotide ribosomal RNA. NCBI's taxonomy places the organism in Eukaryota, Metazoa, Chordata, Mammalia, Carnivora, Felidae. The record is from Ensembl.
GUCUACGGCCAUACCACCCUGAACGCGCCCGAUCUCAUCUGAUCUCGGAAGCUAAGCAGGGUCGGGCCUGGUUAGUACUUGGAUGGGAGAAAAGGAAACAGAGAUGGGUUUUGAACUGUAGGUU